UUUUUUUUUUUUUUUUGGGAGCCGGAGAUUUGCUGUUGUUGCCCAGGCUGGCGGCUCCCCUCCAUUGUGCAAUGAUGCAACCUCUGCUCACUACAACCUCCACCUCUAGGCUUCAAGCAAUUCUCCUGCCUCAGCCUCCUAAGUAGCUGGAAUUACAGAGACUGGGUUCUUCCAAACUGUCCAGGUUGGUCUUGAACUCCUGGGGUGAAGCGAUCCUCCCACCUGGGCCUCCCAAAGUGCUGGGAGGCCUGAGCCACUGUGACUACCUGAUAUGUCUCUUCUCUCUUGCUGCUUUCAAAAUCCUGUCUUUUGUGGGAGGGCAGCCGCCGGGCCCUGGACUUCUAUGGGGUCAUCCACUGAGGACAGGAGGACCGGGCCCUGUACAGGCUCUAGUACCAAUCCUGGCUCUUUGCCCCAGGAGCAAAUUAAAAGGCAGCUUCGAUUUUCAACCAUGGAUCUGAUGACUUUCAACAAACCUUCCUGAGAAAAUGCUGUUCCCACCAGAAGAGAUCUCAGGACAAAUGUAGACAGCCCUG
This 536-nucleotide non-coding RNA is filed under the name Pongo abelii (Sumatran orangutan). Lineage: Eukaryota; Metazoa; Chordata; Mammalia; Primates; Hominidae. The record is from RNAcentral.